RNAcentral lists this ribosomal RNA (349 nucleotides) under uncultured bacterium. Its description in RNAcentral is "bacterial SSU rRNA". It matches the Rfam family "Bacterial small subunit ribosomal RNA", at positions 917 to 1287 of the family's 1533-position model. The record is from RNAcentral.
GGGCCCGCACAAGCGGUGGAGCAUGUGGUUUAAUUCGAUGCAACGCGAAGAACCUUACCUACUCUUGACAUCCAGAGAACUUUUCAGAGAUGAAUUGGUGCCUUCGGGAACUCUGAGACAGGUGCUGCAUGGCUGUCGUCAGCUCGUGUUGUGAAAUGUUGGGUUAAGUCCCGCAACGAGCGCAACCCUUAUCCUUGUUUGCCAGCGAGUAAUGUCGGGAACUCCAGGGAGACUGCCGGUGAUAAGCGGGAGGAAGGUGUGGAUGACGUCAAGUCCUCAUGGCCCUUACGGGUUGGGCUACACACGUGCUACAAUGGCAUCUACAGUGGGUUAAUCCCCAAAAGAUGUC